CCUACGGGAGGCAGCAGUGGGGAAUAUUGCACAAUGGGCGCAAGCCUGAUGCAGCGACGCCGCGUGAGGGAUGACGGCCUUCGGGUUGUAAACCUCUUUCAGCAGGGACGAAGCGCAAGUGACGGUGCCUGCAGAAGAAGCACCGGCCAACUACGUGCCAGCAGCCGCGGUAAUACGUAGGGUGCAAGCGUUGUCCGGAAUUACUGGGCGUAAAGAGCUCGUAGGCGGUUUGUCGCGUCGUCUGUGAAAACCAGCAGCUCAACUGUUGGCUUGCAGGCGAUACGGGCAGACUUGAGUAUUUCAGGGGAGACUGGAAUUCCUGGUGUAGCGGUGAAAUGCGCAGAUAUCAGGAGGAACACCGGUGGCGAAGGCGGGGUCUCUGGGAAAUAACUGACGCUGAGGAGCGAAAGCGUGGGUAGCGAACAGGAUUAGAUACCCUGGUAGUCCACGCCGUAAACGGUGGGCGCUAGGUGUGGGUUUCCUUCCUACGGGAUCCGUGCCGUAGCUAACGCAUUAAGCGCCCCGCCUGGGGAGUACGGCCGCAAGGCUAAAACUCAAAGGAAUUGACGGCGNGAGAGNGCGACGACGACGACGAGGGAGGAGG
Molecule: ribosomal RNA, 604 nt
Filed under: uncultured bacterium
Lineage: Bacteria
Description: bacterial SSU rRNA
Rfam family: Bacterial small subunit ribosomal RNA
Source: RNAcentral